UACGUAGGGUGCAAGCGUUUAAUCGGAAUUACUGGGCGUAAAGCGUGCGCAGGCGGUUAUAUAAGACAGAUGUGAAAUCCCCGGGCUCAACCUGGGAACUGCGUUUGUGACUGUAUGACUAGAGUACGGUAGAGAGGGGUGGAAUUCCUGGUGUAGCAGUGAAAUGCGUAGAUAUCAGGAGGAACAUCGAUGGCGAAGGCAGCCCCCUGGACCUGUACUGACGCUCAUGCACGAAAAGCGUGGGGAGCAAACAGG
Molecule: ribosomal RNA, 255 nt
Filed under: uncultured bacterium
Lineage: Bacteria
Description: partial 16S ribosomal RNA
Rfam family: Bacterial small subunit ribosomal RNA
Source: RNAcentral